This 1497-nucleotide ribosomal RNA is filed under the name Lactiplantibacillus plantarum. RNAcentral describes it as "bacterial SSU rRNA". It matches the Rfam family "Bacterial small subunit ribosomal RNA". The record is from RNAcentral. Lineage: Bacteria; Bacillati; Bacillota; Bacilli; Lactobacillales; Lactobacillaceae.
AGGACGAACGCUGGCGGCGUGCCUAAUACAUGCAAGUCGAACGAACUCUGGUAUUGAUUGGUGCUUGCAUCAUGAUUUACAUUUGAGUGAGUGGCGAACUGGUGAGUAACACGUGGGAAACCUGCCCAGAAGCGGGGGAUAACACCUGGAAACAGAUGCUAAUACCGCAUAACAACUUGGACCGCAUGGUCCGAGUUUGAAAGAUGGCUUCGGCUAUCACUUUUGGAUGGUCCCGCGGCGUAUUAGCUAGAUGGUGGGGUAACGGCUCACCAUGGCAAUGAUACGUAGCCGACCUGAGAGGGUAAUCGGCCACAUUGGGACUGAGACACGGCCCAAACUCCUACGGGAGGCAGCAGUAGGGAAUCUUCCACAAUGGACGAAAGUCUGAUGGAGCAACGCCGCGUGAGUGAAGAAGGGUUUCGGCUCGUAAAACUCUGUUGUUAAAGAAGAACAUAUCUGAGAGUAACUGUUCAGGUAUUGACGGUAUUUAACCAGAAAGCCACGGCUAACUACGUGCCAGCAGCCGCGGUAAUACGUAGGUGGCAAGCGUUGUCCGGAUUUAUUGGGCGUAAAGCGAGCGCAGGCGGUUUUUUAAGUCUGAUGUGAAAGCCUUCGGCUCAACCGAAGAAGUGCAUCGGAAACUGGGAAACUUGAGUGCAGAAGAGGACAGUGGAACUCCAUGUGUAGCGGUGAAAUGCGUAGAUAUAUGGAAGAACACCAGUGGCGAAGGCGGCUGUCUGGUCUGUAACUGACGCUGAGGCUCGAAAGUAUGGGUAGCAAACAGGAUUAGAUACCCUGGUAGUCCAUACCGUAAACGAUGAAUGCUAAGUGUUGGAGGGUUUCCGCCCUUCAGUGCUGCAGCUAACGCAUUAAGCAUUCCGCCUGGGGAGUACGGCCGCAAGGCUGAAACUCAAAGGAAUUGACGGGGGCCCGCACAAGCGGUGGAGCAUGUGGUUUAAUUCGAAGCUACGCGAAGAACCUUACCAGGUCUUGACAUACUAUGCAAAUCUAAGAGAUUAGACGUUCCCUUCGGGGACAUGGAUACAGGUGGUGCAUGGUUGUCGUCAGCUCGUGUCGUGAGAUGUUGGGUUAAGUCCCGCAACGAGCGCAACCCUUAUUAUCAGUUGCCAGCAUUAAGUUGGGCACUCUGGUGAGACUGCCGGUGACAAACCGGAGGAAGGUGGGGAUGACGUCAAAUCAUCAUGCCCCUUAUGACCUGGGCUACACACGUGCUACAAUGGAUGGUACAACGAGUUGCGAACUCGCGAGAGUAAGCUAAUCUCUUAAAGCCAUUCUCAGUUCGGAUUGUAGGCUGCAACUCGCCUACAUGAAGUCGGAAUCGCUAGUAAUCGCGGAUCAGCAUGCCGCGGUGAAUACGUUCCCGGGCCUUGUACACACCGCCCGUCACACCAUGAGAGUUUGUAACACCCAAAGUCGGUGGGGUAACCUUUUAGGAACCAGCCGCCUAAGGUGGGACAGAUGAUUAGGGUGAAGUCG